Molecule: ribosomal RNA, 1387 nt
Filed under: metagenome
Description: bacterial SSU rRNA
Rfam family: Bacterial small subunit ribosomal RNA
Source: RNAcentral
ACAGGGAUAACGCUUGGAAACGAACGCUAAUACCUGAUGAGGUGGUCCCGCUAUGCGGGAUUAACUAAAGGUGGGGAUUCUUCGGAACCUGCCGCUUGAGGAGGAGCCCGCGUCCCAUCAGUUAGUUGGUAGGGUAAUGGCCUACCAAGACUAAGACGGGUAGCCGGCCUGAGAGGGUGAUCGGCCACACUGGGACUGAGACACUGCCCAGACUCCUACGGGAGGCUGCAGUCGAGGAUCAUUCGCAAUGCGCGAAAGCGUGACGAUGCGACGCUGCGUGUAGGAUGACGGCCUUCGGGUUGUAAACUACUGUCAUAAGGGAAAAAUAUGGCGAGGGUUAAUAACUCUUGCAAUUGAUGUUACCUUAAGAGGAAGCCACGGCUAACUCUGUGCCAGCAGCCGCGGUAAUACAGAGGUGGCGAGCGUUGUUCGGAUUUACUGGGCGUAAAGGGUGUGUAGGUUGUCACGUAUGUCGGAUGUGAAAUUCCGGGGCCUAACCCCGGCGCUGCAUUCGAAACUGCGUGACUGGAGUACAGGAGAGGUAAGCGGAAUUCUUGGUGUAGCGGUGAAAUGCGUUGAUAUCAGGAAGAACACCGGAUGCGAAGGCGGCUUACUGGAAUGUUACUGACACUGAAACACGAAAGCUAGGGGAGCAAACAGGUUUAGAUACCCUGGUAGUCCUAGCCGUAAACGGUGUGCACUCGGUGUUGGCGGAAUUGUCCCCGCCAGUGCCUAAGCUGACGCGUUAAGUGCACCGCCUGGGGAGUACGGUCGCAAGAUUAAAACUCAAAGAAAUUGACGGGGACCCGCACAAGCGGAGGAGCAUGUGGCUUAAUUCGAUGCAACGCGAAGAACCUUACCUGGGCUUGACAUAUAACUGCACGUCCUGCGAAAGCAGGAUUCCUUCGAGGGUGUUAUACAGGUGCUGCAUGGCUGUCGUCAGUUCGUGCCGUGAGGUGUUGGGUUAAGUCCCGCAACGAACGCAACCCCUGUGUUUAGUUGCUACCAGGUAAUGCUGAGCACUCUAGACAGACUGCCCGUGUAAUCGGGAGGAAGGUGGGGACGACGUCAAGUCAGUAUGGCCCUUACGCCCAGGGCUGCACACGUGCUACAAUGACCGGUACAGAGGGUCGCGAUACCGCGGGGUGGAGCAAAUCCCUUAAAACCGGUCCCAGUUCGGAUUGGAGUCUGCAACUCGACUCCAUGAAGUUGGAUUCGCUAGUAACGGCGUAUCAGCUACGACGCCGUGAAUACGUUCCCGGGUCUUGUACACACCGCCCGUCACAUCAUGAAAGCCGUCUGCACCCAAAGUCGCUGACCCAACUAAUUUAUUAGAGGGAGGCGCCUAAGGUGUGGGUGGUGAUUGGGAUGAAGUCGUAACAAGGUA